This 253-nucleotide ribosomal RNA is filed under the name uncultured bacterium. Its description in RNAcentral is "partial 16S ribosomal RNA". It matches the Rfam family "Bacterial small subunit ribosomal RNA", at positions 524 to 776 of the family's 1533-position model. The record is from RNAcentral.
UACGAAGGGGGCUAGCGUUGUUCGGAAUUACUGGGCGUAAAGCGUGCGUAGGCGGAUUGUUAAGUGAGGGGUGAAAUCCCGAGGCUCAACCUCGGAACUGCCUUUCAUACUGGCAAUCUUGAGUCCGGGAGAGGUGAGUGGAACUGCGAGUGUAGAGGUGAAAUUCGUAGAUAUUCGCAAGAACACCAGUGGCGAAGGCGGCUCACUGGCCCGAUACUGACGCUGAGGCACGAAAGCGUGGGGAGCAAACAGG